GACGAACGCUGGCGGCGUGCUUAACACAUGCAAGUCAAGGGGGCCCGCAAGGGUAACCGGCGAACGGGUGCGUAACACGUGAGCAAUCUGCCUAGAUGUGGGGGAUAGCCGGCCCAACGGCCGGGUAAUACCGCAUACGCUCGUCGACUGGCAUCAGUUGACGAGGAAACUUUCGAGGCAUCUAGAGGAGCUCGCGGCCUAUCAGCUAGUUGGUGGGGUAACGGCCUACCAAGGCGGUGACGGGUAGCUGGUCUGAGAGGAUGGCCAGCCACAUUGGGACUGAGAUACGGCCCAGACUCCUACGGGAGGCAGCAGUGGGGAAUAUUGCGCAAUGGUCGAAAGGCUGACGCAGCGACGCCGCGUGGGGGAUGAAGCAUUUCGGUGUGUAAACCCCUGUUAGCUCGGGACGAACAAGCCUUUUCGAGGGUCUCUGACGGUACCGAGUAGAGGAAGCACCGGCUAACUCCGUGCCCAGCAGCCGCGGUAAU
RNAcentral lists this ribosomal RNA (488 nucleotides) under uncultured bacterium. Its description in RNAcentral is "bacterial SSU rRNA". It matches the Rfam family "Bacterial small subunit ribosomal RNA", at positions 28 to 524 of the family's 1533-position model. The record is from RNAcentral.